RNAcentral lists this ribosomal RNA (305 nucleotides) under uncultured bacterium. Its description in RNAcentral is "bacterial SSU rRNA". It matches the Rfam family "Bacterial small subunit ribosomal RNA", at positions 332 to 654 of the family's 1533-position model. The record is from RNAcentral.
UUGUGCCUACGGGGCGCAGCAGUGGGGAAUAUUGCACAAUGGGGGGAACCCUGAUGCAGCGACGCCGCGUGGGUGAAGAAGUCAUUCGUGACGUAAAGCCCUAUCAGCAGGGAAGAAAAUGACGGUACCUGACUAAGAAGCCCCGGCUAACUACGUGCCAGCAGCCGCGGUAAUACGUAGGGGGCAAGCGUUAUCCGGAUUUACUGGGUGUAAAGGGAGCGUAGGUGGCAUUGUAAGCCAGAAGUGAAAACCCGGGGCUCAACCCCGCGGAUUGCUUUUGGAACUAUCAGGCUGGAGUGCUGGAG